UACGUAGGGUGCAAGCGUUGUCCGGAAUUAUUGGGCGUAAAGAGCUUGUAGGCGGUUUGUCGCGUCUGCUGUGAAAACUCGGGGCUUAACCCCGGGCCUGCAGUGGGUACGGGCAGACUAGAGUGCGGUAGGGGAGACUGGAAUUCCUGGUGUAGCGGUGAAAUGCGCAGAUAUCAGGAGGAACACCGGUGGCGAAGGCGGGUCUCUGGACAGUUCCUGACGCUGAGGCACGAAGGCCAGGGGAGCAAACGGG
Molecule: ribosomal RNA, 253 nt
Filed under: uncultured bacterium
Lineage: Bacteria
Description: partial 16S ribosomal RNA
Rfam family: Bacterial small subunit ribosomal RNA
Source: RNAcentral